GGAUAACCUUGCGAAAGUAAGACUAAUACCCAAUGAUAUCUCUAGAAGACAUCUGAAAGAGAUUAAAGAUUUAUCGGUGAUGGAUGGGGAUGCGUCUGAUUAGCUUGUUGGCGGGGUAACGGCCCACCAAGGCAACGAUCAGUAGGGGUUCUGAGAGGAAGGUCCCCCACAUUGGAACUGAGACACGGUCCAAACUCCUACGGGAGGCAGCAGUGAGGAAUAUUGGUCAAUGGACGAGAGUCUGAACCAGCCAAGUAGCGUGCAGGAAGACGGCCCUAUGGGUUGUAAACUGCUUUUAUAAGGGAAUAAAGUUAGUCUCGUGAGACUUUUUGCAUGUACCUUAUGAAUAAGGACCGGCUAAUUCCGUGCCAGCAGCCGCGGUAAUACGGAAGGUCCGGGCGUUAUCCGGAUUUAUUGGGUUUAAAGGGAGCGUAGGCCGGAGAUUAAGCGUGUUGUGAAAUGUAGACGCUCAACGUCUGCACUGCAGCGCGAACUGGUUUCCUUGAGUACGCACAAAGUGGGCGGAAUUCGUGGUGUAGCGGUGAAAUGCUUAGAUAUCACGAAGAACUCCGAUUGCGAAGGCAGCUCACUGGAGCGCAACUGACGCUGAAGCCCGAAAGUGCGGGUAUCGAACAGGAUUAGAUACCCUGGUAGUCCGCACGGUAAACGAUGGAUGCCCGCUGUUGGUCUGAAUAGGUCAGCGGCCAAG
This 709-nucleotide ribosomal RNA is filed under the name uncultured bacterium. RNAcentral describes it as "bacterial SSU rRNA". It matches the Rfam family "Bacterial small subunit ribosomal RNA", at positions 141 to 851 of the family's 1533-position model. The record is from RNAcentral.